RNAcentral lists this ribosomal RNA (253 nucleotides) under uncultured bacterium. RNAcentral describes it as "partial 16S ribosomal RNA". It matches the Rfam family "Bacterial small subunit ribosomal RNA", at positions 524 to 776 of the family's 1533-position model. The record is from RNAcentral.
UACGAAGGGGGCUAGCGUUGUUCGGAGUUACUGGGCGUAAAGGGCGCGUAGGCGGCCGGUCAAGUCGGGUGUGAAAGCCCGGGGCUCAACCCCGGAUGUGCAUUCGAGACUGAUUGGCUUGAGGACGGGAGAGGAUGGUGGAAUUCCCAGUGUAGAGGUGAAAUUCGUAGAUAUCGGAAGGAACAUCAGUGGCGAAAGCGACUUCCUGGACCAAUACUGACGCUCAUGUGCGAAAGCGUGGGGAGCAAACAGG